Molecule: long non-coding RNA, 3403 nt
Organism: Ziziphus jujuba (common jujube)
Lineage: Eukaryota; Viridiplantae; Streptophyta; Magnoliopsida; Rosales; Rhamnaceae
Exons: 9
Source: RefSeq, a predicted model, not a curated record
AUUGUAAAGCAGCACCUGCGCAGCUUUCGGGACUUUCGGGAAGAGGGGUAGUCUUGUGUGUAAGUAUAGCAUUUCUGGUCGAACCUGCCCAGCCCAACUAAGAAGAAUCGAACAAAAUUGCCCAACUCCCAGUCUUGUGUGAAAAUGCACAGAAAAGCUGGUUUAACGAAAUGCAUAAUCUGUUGAGUUGCUUAUGGAUGACGAUGAGAGUGAUGAGGAAAAAGUGAAGAAACAUAAGCAAAAAAAAGUCAUCUCUACAAAUUUGAAAAAGCUACAGAGCUAAAAUCCCUGCUUUCACGUCCUCUACAACCGCAAACUUUUUCAUGUUGAUACUUAGUAGGGAUAACUAUCUCUUUGAGACUCUUUCACGUCCUCUAUAACCAUCAGGGGCUAGCCGUUGCCACAACUGCAAGCAUUGGAGGAGUAAGUGAUGGACCGAGCAGAAAAUUGAAGCACAAAACUUGCGAUCGUUAGAGUUACAAGUGUUUGCUGAGAAAAUUACACACACACUUACAGAGAUAGAGAAAGAUAUAUAUAUAUAUAUAUAUAAAUAGAUAGUGAAACAUUGGUGGCGGUUUGUCUCCCAUUAAUAUAAAUGGAUUCAGAUUACCAACGAAGGUUUUGGGACUCGGAGAUAUCGAGGGCAAAGGUUAAUUGUAGAUCGAACUUCUAGAAAGCCGUGUCGAAUAUUAAGUUCAAGCUGACUCCAACCCAAAUAAAGAAGUUUGAGGAUAGCUGUUUUGGCCACUUUUUGAAGGCCAACGAGAUACAAUUUAGUGGCCACAUCGUCAACAGCAUGCUGUAUAGGCAGUGUGUUUGUGACGACAAAGAUUCUAUGGUAUUCAAUUUUGGAGGGCGUGGUGCUAGAUUUACCCAGAGAGACUUCACCAUAAUUACAGGUCUACGGUUUGGUUAUGAACCCAAUAGGCGGAUUAACAUCUCUACUCGUAUUAGUGACACGUAUUUUGGCGGAAAGCGAAAGGUCACUAACUCGGAGAUAACCGAAGCUUUCAUGACCGCACAGUGUCAAGACGAUGAUGAAGCCGACAAUGAUAGAUUGAAGUUGGAUUUAUUAUAUUUCCUAGAGACAGUUGUUCUAGGCAAAGAAAGCAUGGCCACCGCACCCCAUAAUCACUUGGAGAUGGUGGAUGAUUUAGAGUAGUUCAAUAACUGUCCAUGGGGUACUUUAUCAUAUACCACCACCAUUAGAUCGUUGAAGAGUGCUUUUGAGUAUAGAGAGUCCAUGGCUUUAAACAAGUCAAAGAGUUAUAGUCUUUGUGGGUUUCCUUUGGCUUUCAUGAUUUGGAGUUUUGAGACAAUUCCUUCGUUAGGUCAAGCAUUUGGAAAGAAGUUGCCGAACAUGGCAUUCCCUCGAAUUCUUAAUUGGCAUAUUUCAAAAGUGCCAAGAUUUGAGAAGGCCACUGAACUCUUCGAUCAUCGUGAUAUAAUAUCUCGUUCAUGGCUUAAUGAAUGUAACUGAAUUUGAGCGUGCAUAUAUUUGUAAAAUUGCAUGGGAUGUACAUCAUGACACUACUCCAUACAAUGUUGCAUCUGUUGUCCGAGACAAGCCACCACAGGGAAGUCAUGAUGAAAAAGAUGAAGGUCUUCCACUUAUAAGUAGUGGAAGAAGUAAGAAACGAAAAGAGGCAUCUGUGGAAAUUAAGGGUAAAAGAGGGAGGCGGCGAAUGGGAGAUAAGCCGACAGACCAGCCUUCAUCAUCGACUGCAGGAGUUGCUGCUCAUGUUCGUGUUAAACCAUCGACUCCAUCCCAACCUCCAACGACUCCAUCCCAUGAUGAGGUACCUUUGAAAAAGAGAUUAACUAUCCUUGAAAGCGAAGUGGCUAAUGUACGGCAAGACAUUAAGGAUUUAAGAAUCGCCAUGCUUAGAGAGUUUGCAAGUUUGGAGACCAAGCUUGAUAAGUUAAUGAAGCACUAAAGAAUGGGAGUUGGUGCUGACGGGUUGGGAGAUGGGAUAGAAGCGGACGUUGAAGGGGAUGAAAAUAAAAAAGAGUUUGGUCCUGAUGCGACCCCCGUUGAUAGACAGUCACGUCCAUCCGUUGUAGACAAUGCAGGACCAAAUGUUACGAUUAUCGAGAAAGUAUCUCCAUCAAAGUUUUCUGCCGGGAGACGUGCAAGAAAAGUAGCAGCUGCUAAGCAAAGUAUAGAUAUUGGGAGGCGGGAUAGGAAGGUGGCAGCAACUAUUACAACUCCUUACAGUGUUGGAGGCUUGUGGAAAAAACUACAGCGCACUUUACCUGAUGUAUCUUCUACUUUGAAGUUCGACCCAUACAAACCAGUACCCACGCAACUUGUAAAAAAUUUUGACCAAUUUAUGAGGUCCGGUUGGACAGCAAAGGUUGAUAUGGACAUUUUGUCUGCGGGUAAAGACUUUUUCUAGUUGCUUAUAACCAGUGAGAAGUGGCUGAAUCACGAUGUAAGUAUUUUUCGAUCAAGAUUUUUAUUUUAUAAUUUGAUAAAUUCCAUAGAUAGUUGUUCCACUGCAUGGAUGUAAUUUAAAAUUAAUUCGUCUUUCAAUGCAACAUAUGGAAGUCUUGCCUUACUUAUUUCGUGUACGUGCCAAUCGAUUCCCUGAUGUUUUUUAUCCUAGUUUUGAGGUGAUAGAUGGAGGAUUUUGAGUAAGUAAAGGCCAGGUGUCCUAUAUGUGGCUAUUGUGAUUUUGGGUAACUAAUAAUUUAUUUUGUUGUAGUUAUACAUUGAGCAGUGUUAUGGAAAGUUCCUCGCCAAUCCAUCUAAGUUCCAAUUCCCAUAUGCAAUGCAAGAAUAUGUAUUGGGGAUUCGAAUGAAGGAGUCGAAGCCAUAGAAAUGCGUAAAUCAUGGCACGUGGACUUGAAAGAGCGUCGUAUGACUGUAUAUAACUCAGAUAAGGCUGACAACCGAAACAGGGGAGAAAUUUAUUUCCAGAAAUUAUGCAUUAUGUUACCUUAUUUACUGCGAUCUGCAUCCUUUUAUGAGCAGCGGCUGGAUCUUGUAGACUCCGUUGAUGAGUGUACAUGUAAAUUGGCACAAAAUUCCCCUCAGCAAAGUAAUGGGUAAAGCCCCUUAAUACGUAUAUGUUUUUUGAAUAAAUAUUAACUAUUGAAUAUGGUUCUAAUAAUACUAAUAUAUGUUAUAAUAAUUGUUUUUUUGUAAUGGUGACUGUGGCAUGUUUACACUCAAAACCAUCGAGUUUUUACAUGCUAGAUUAUCAGUGACAUUCACACAAGAUGACAUGGAGUUCUUUAGGAAGAAGUAUGCAUAUGAGGCUUACAACAAAGAACUAAGCGUAUGAGCUGGGUGGUGAUGCAUUUUUCUUUCCUUUUGUCAUGUUUAUAAAUGCAUACUCUUUAUUAUAUUAGACUUUUAAUUGUAAAGAUAAUGGUGGCUUAUAAUGUUCAUUUAACA